This is a long non-coding RNA of Camelina sativa (false flax), 1242 nucleotides long. RefSeq lists it as uncharacterized. The record is from RefSeq and is a predicted model, not a curated record. Lineage: Eukaryota; Viridiplantae; Streptophyta; Magnoliopsida; Brassicales; Brassicaceae.
GUGAAGAUUCGAGAGUAAAUUAGGAUGAGAAAUCGAGAAAUUUUGGUCUUCCGCGUACCUUGAAUCGACGUCGAGCAAAAAUGAAGGGUAUGGUUUGAAGUUGUACCAGAAACUUCACUGCUUGCCUUAUGUGUUGAAGUUCAUCCCAUGGUGAUCGUGCUGCCUGUUGGAGACACAAGAGAAAAAAAGAAUUAUAUAUUCUCCGUUGCUAACCGAACAACACUCUCGGCGAAGCAACAAACUGCCAGAAGAUAACUUUGCAAGUCAAGCUACCUCAUAUCUAAAUAUGGGACCUGGAGAUCAUUAAGACGCAGUCAAGAAACAGGAGAAGAUAGAUUAAGCUUGAGAUGAAACUCUUCCAAAGUUCAUUCUCUUACAUGGUUCUCUGCCAUAAAGGUUAAGAAGUUUUGUACCUUCUCGGACACAAGAACUCUUUCAGGAGGCAUUGUGUUUUCUACAGAAGCUGUCUGUCUUCGAAGAGAUUCAUUUUCUGACUCUAGAAUUGCAACCUUAUCCUUCAGGCUGAUAAGAGCUAUGUCUGAUAGAAGAAAGGAAUGCACUAGGCUGACAAAACUGAUGAGCUCACAGAACCGUACCUGUUUAACUCUCCAGACUCUUCGACCCUUGUUGAAGCGGCCAAAGCCUGCUGGCGCAAGACCUGAUUUUCGGAUUCAAGGUUUGACAGGUUUACCUGUUGAUCUUGAAGCUUUCAAAACCAUAAAUGUCGAGAACUCCGAUCAAGCUUUUAGCAUUCGGGUCUUGACCUAUUGAACUGUUGAUCUUAUCCACAAUCCUGCCAUUAUUGAGUUGUGCAUAGGUCACGAUUGGAGAUUGCUCAAACUGAGAACUGUUUAUCUAGUUAAAGGGGUUGGAUUUACAUACCAGUCAAACAACCUGGAGUAUACUGUCUUGGCUAAAGCAUCACGGUUUGAAGCUGCCGAUUCUGGGUCAAGCGGCUUUGUAAUGUUACCAUCUGGAGUUACAAUUACACGCUUGCAGAGUGAAUCUUCCAUCAUCUUCUCAUUGCACCUACGUCAAGUGAAUAAUUGAAAAUGUGUCAGCAUUGCCAUAGGAACUCUGCAGGACUUAAAGUCUAGUGGUGGAGAAUUGCAGCGACGACGCGGAAUAUGGCAUCCUAAAGUUGAAUUUUUGAGGAUUGUUACUGAAGACUUACCUCAGGAGGUGCUGCACAGAGCAUGUAGAAGCAGUGGUAGUUCCUCUCAGGGUCUGAGACUUGGCAAA